RNAcentral lists this ribosomal RNA (460 nucleotides) under uncultured bacterium. Its description in RNAcentral is "partial 16S ribosomal RNA". It matches the Rfam family "Bacterial small subunit ribosomal RNA", at positions 338 to 795 of the family's 1533-position model. The record is from RNAcentral.
CCUACGGGUGGCAGCAGUGAGGAAUAUUGCUCAAUGGGCGCGAGCCUGAACCAGCCAAGUAGCGUGAAGGAUGACUGCCCUACGGUUUGUAAACUUCUUUUAUAAAGGAAUAAAGUGAGGCAGGUGUUCCUUUUUGUAUGUACUUUAUGAAUAAGGGUCGGCUAACUCCGCGCCAGCAGCCGCGGUAAUACGGAGGAUCCGAGCGUUAUCCGGAUUUAUUUGGUUUAAAGUGAAUGUAGAUGGGAUGUUAAGUCAGUUGUGAAAGUUUCGGGCUCAACCGUAAAAUUGCAAUUGAUACUGGCAGUCUUGAGUACAGUUGAGGUAGGCGGAAUUCGUGGUGUAGCGGUGAAAUGCUUAGAUAUCACGAAGAACUCCGAUUGCGAAGGCAGCUUACUAAAAUGCCACUGACACUGAUGAGCGAAAGUGUGGGUAUCAAACAGGAUUAGAUACCCUAGUAGUC